Molecule: ribosomal RNA, 340 nt
Filed under: uncultured bacterium
Lineage: Bacteria
Description: bacterial SSU rRNA
Rfam family: Bacterial small subunit ribosomal RNA
Source: RNAcentral
GAGUUUGAUCGUGGCUCAGGACGAACGCUGGCGGCGUGCCUAAUACAUGCAAGUAGAACGCUGAAGAGAGGAGCUUGCUCUUCUUGGAUGAGUUGCGAACGGGUGAGUAACGCGUAGGUAACCUGCCUUGUAGCGGGGGAUAACUAUUGGAAACGAUAGCUAAUACCGCAUAACAAUGGAUGACACAUGUCAUUUAUUUGAAAGGGGCAAUUGCUCCACUACAAGAUGGACCUGCGUUGUAUUAGCUAGUAGGUGAGGUAAUGGCUCACCUAGGCGACGAUACAUAGCCGACCUGAGAGGGUGAUCGGCCACACUGGGACUGAGACACGGCCCAGACUCC